RNAcentral lists this ribosomal RNA (445 nucleotides) under uncultured bacterium. RNAcentral's name for it is "partial 16S ribosomal RNA". It matches the Rfam family "Bacterial small subunit ribosomal RNA", at positions 354 to 796 of the family's 1533-position model. The record is from RNAcentral.
GUAGGGAAUAUUGGACAAUGGGCGAAAGCCUGAUCCAGCCAUGCCGCGUGAUAGAUGAAGGCCCUCUGGGUUGUAAAUAUCUUUUAUCUGGGAAGAAACUCCUCUAUUCUUAGAGGCCUGACGGUACCAGAGGAAUAAGCACCGGCUAACUCCGUGCCAGCAGCCGCGGUAAUACGGAGGGUGCAAGCGUUAUCCGGAUUCACUGGGUUUAAAGGGUGCGUAGGCGGGUUGAUAAGUCAGUGGUGAAAGCUCCGGGUUUAACUUGGAAACUGCCAUUGAUACUGUCAGUCUUGAAUGUCGUGGAGGUAAGCGGAAUGUUGCAUGUAGCGGUGAAAUGCUUAGAUAUGUUACAGAACACCAAGUGCGAAGGCAGCUUACUAUGCGAUAAUUGACGCUGAGGCACGAAAGCGUGGGGAGCAAACAGGAUUAGAUACCCGGGUAGUCC